GAUGAACGCUGGCGGCGUGCCUAACACAUGCAAGUCGAGCGCGAUUAAGUGGAGUGAGAACUUCGGUUCAAGUGAAGCUUAUGAAAGCGGCGGACGGGUGAGUAACGCGUGGGUAACCUGCCCCAUACAAAGGGAUAGCCACUGGAAACGGUGAUUAAUACCUUAUAAGUCGGUAGUCUCGCAUGAGACAGCCGACAAAGAUUUAUCGGUAUGGGAUGGACCCGCGUCUGAUUAGCUAGUUGGUGGGGUAACGGCUCACCAAGGCGACGAUCAGUAGCCGACCUGAGAGGGUGAUCGGCCACACUGGAACUGAGACACGGUCCAGACUCCUACGGGAGGCAGCAGUGGGGAAUAUUGCACAAUGGGCGCAAGCCUGAUGCAGCAACGCCGCGUGAGUGAUGAAGGCUUUCGGGUCGUAAAACUCUGUCCUAUGGGAAGAAAAAAUAGACGGUACCAUAGGAGGAAGCCCCGGCUAACUACGUAGCCAGCAGCCGACGG
Molecule: ribosomal RNA, 498 nt
Filed under: uncultured bacterium
Lineage: Bacteria
Description: bacterial SSU rRNA
Rfam family: Bacterial small subunit ribosomal RNA
Source: RNAcentral